This 1520-nucleotide ribosomal RNA is filed under the name Salmonella enterica. RNAcentral's name for it is "bacterial SSU rRNA". It matches the Rfam family "Bacterial small subunit ribosomal RNA". RNAcentral also lists the same sequence under 1 other name. The record is from RNAcentral. Lineage: Bacteria; Pseudomonadati; Pseudomonadota; Gammaproteobacteria; Enterobacterales; Enterobacteriaceae.
ACGCUGGCGGCAGGCCUAACACAUGCAAGUCGAACGGUAACAGGAAGCAGCUUGCUGCUUUGCUGACGAGUGGCGGACGGGUGAGUAAUGUCUGGGAAACUGCCUGAUGGAGGGGGAUAACUACUGGAAACGGUGGCUAAUACCGCAUAACGUCGCAAGACCAAAGAGGGGGACCUUCGGGCCUCUUGCCAUCAGAUGUGCCCAGAUGGGAUUAGCUUGUUGGUGAGGUAACGGCUCACCAAGGCGACGAUCCCUAGCUGGUCUGAGAGGAUGACCAGCCACACUGGAACUGAGACACGGUCCAGACUCCUACGGGAGGCAGCAGUGGGGAAUAUUGCACAAUGGGCGCAAGCCUGAUGCAGCCAUGCCGCGUGUAUGAAGAAGGCCUUCGGGUUGUAAAGUACUUUCAGCGGGGAGGAAGGUGUUGUGGUUAAUAACCGCAGCAAUUGACGUUACCCGCAGAAGAAGCACCGGCUAACUCCGUGCCAGCAGCCGCGGUAAUACGGAGGGUGCAAGCGUUAAUCGGAAUUACUGGGCGUAAAGCGCACGCAGGCGGUCUGUCAAGUCGGAUGUGAAAUCCCCGGGCUCAACCUGGGAACUGCAUUCGAAACUGGCAGGCUUGAGUCUUGUAGAGGGGGGUAGAAUUCCAGGUGUAGCGGUGAAAUGCGUAGAGAUCUGGAGGAAUACCGGUGGCGAAGGCGGCCCCCUGGACAAAGACUGACGCUCAGGUGCGAAAGCGUGGGGAGCAAACAGGAUUAGAUACCCUGGUAGUCCACGCCGUAAACGAUGUCUACUUGGAGGUUGUGCCCUUGAGGCGUGGCUUCCGGAGCUAACGCGUUAAGUAGACCGCCUGGGGAGUACGGCCGCAAGGUUAAAACUCAAAUGAAUUGACGGGGGCCCGCACAAGCGGUGGAGCAUGUGGUUUAAUUCGAUGCAACGCGAAGAACCUUACCUGGUCUUGACAUCCACAGAAGAAUCCAGAGAUGGAUUUGUGCCUUCGGGAACUGUGAGACAGGUGCUGCAUGGCUGUCGUCAGCUCGUGUUGUGAAAUGUUGGGUUAAGUCCCGCAACGAGCGCAACCCUUAUCCUUUGUUGCCAGCGGUUAGGCCGGGAACUCAAAGGAGACUGCCAGUGAUAAACUGGAGGAAGGUGGGGAUGACGUCAAGUCAUCAUGGCCCUUACGACCAGGGCUACACACGUGCUACAAUGGCGCAUACAAAGAGAAGCGACCUCGCGAGAGCAAGCGGACCUCAUAAAGUGCGUCGUAGUCCGGAUUGGAGUCUGCAACUCGACUCCAUGAAGUCGGAAUCGCUAGUAAUCGUGGAUCAGAAUGCCACGGUGAAUACGUUCCCGGGCCUUGUACACACCGCCCGUCACACCAUGGGAGUGGGUUGCAAAAGAAGUAGGUAGCUUAACCUUCGGGAGGGCGCUUACCACUUUGUGAUUCAUGACUGGGGUGAAGUCGUAACAAGGUAACCGUAGGGGAACCUGCGGUUGGAUCACCUCCUUACCUUAAAGAA